RNAcentral lists this ribosomal RNA (1342 nucleotides) under metagenome. Its description in RNAcentral is "bacterial LSU rRNA". It matches the Rfam family "Bacterial large subunit ribosomal RNA", at positions 1601 to 2925 of the family's 2925-position model. The record is from RNAcentral.
UAUGCUGCCGAGAAAAGCCUCUAGCGAGCUGGUACAUGGCCCGUACCCCAAACCGACACAGGUGGUCAGGUAGAGAAUACUAAGGCGAUCGAGAGAACUGUGGUUAAGGAACUCGGCAAAAUGCCCCCGUAACUUCGGGAGAAGGGGGACCAGUCCUGGUGACGACAUUUACUGUCUGAGCUGGGGUUGGUCGCAGAGACCAGAGAGACGCGACUGUUUGCUAAAAACACAGGUCCGUGCGAAGUCGUAAGACGAUGUAUACGGACUGACGCCUCCCCGGUGCUGGAAGGUUAAGAGGACCGGUCAGCCACUUCGGUGGCGAAGCUGAGAAUUUAAGCCCCAGUAAACGGCGGUGGUAACUAUAACCAUCCUAAGGUAGCGAAAUUCCUUGUCGGGUAAGUUCCGACCUGCACGAAUGGCGUAACGACUUCUCUGCUGUCUCAACCACAGACUCGGCGAAAUUGCAGUACGAGUAAACAUGCUCGUUACGCGCGGCAGGACGAAAAGACCCCGGGACCUUCACUAUAGCUUGGUAUUGGUGUUCGGUUCGGUUUGUGCAGGAUAGGUGGGAGACUGUGAAACUCGCACGCCAGUGUGGGUGGAGUCGUUGUUGAAAUACCACUCUGACCGUAUUGGACAUCUAACCUCGGACUAUGAUCUGGUUCAGGGACAGUGCCUGGUAGGUAGUUUAACUGGGGCGGUUGCCUCCUAAAAAGUAACGGAGGCGCCCAAAGGUUCCCUCAGCCUGGUUGGCAAUCAGGUGUUGAGUGUAAGUGCACAAGGGAGCUUGACUGUGAGACGUACAUGUCGAGCAGGUACGAAAGUCGGGACUAGUGAUCCGGCACCGGCAAGUGGAAGCGGUGUCGCUCAACGGAUAAAAGGUACCCCGGGGAUAACAGGCUGAUCUUCCCCAGGAGUCCAUAUCGACGGGAUGGUUUGGCACCUCGAUGUCGGCUCGUCGCAUCCUGGGGCUGGAGUAGGUCCCAAGGGUUGGGCUGUUCGCCCAUUAAAGCGGCACGCGAGCUGGGUUUAGAACGUCGUGAGACAGUUCGGUCUCUAUCCGCCGCGCGCGUAAGAAACUUGAGGAAACCUGUCCCUAGUACGAGAGGACCGGGACGGACGAACCUCUGGUGUGCCAGUUGUUCCACCAGGAGCACCUCUGGUUAGCUACGUUCGGAAGGGAUAACCGCUGAAAGCAUCUAAGCGGGAAGCCUGUUCCAAGAUGAGGUUUCUCACCACCUAGCGUGGUUAAGGCCCCCCACAGACCAUGGGGUUGAUAGGCCAGAACUGUAAGCACAGCAAUGUGUUCAGGUGACUGGUACUAAUCGGCCGAGGACUUACC